RNAcentral lists this long non-coding RNA (278 nucleotides) under Elaeis guineensis (African oil palm). RNAcentral describes it as "long non-coding RNA (EGUI_LNC081216)". The record is from RNAcentral. Lineage: Eukaryota; Viridiplantae; Streptophyta; Magnoliopsida; Arecales; Arecaceae.
ACUCCCCCGAUUCCGAAGGAGCAUAGCCGGCGGUCGAUUGCGAUCGCCGGCGUCGGAAAAAUUCAAGGAAAAAAGAGGUCGACAUAGGGGUCUCUUUUUCGAUCGAAAAUCAGCGACACCCAUCGCCGGCAGCCUCGUGCAAAGGUAUGGGAAGAAAGGGAAGGAAGAGAGGAAGGGGAGGAAGACUUUCCUCAGCCUCCGGUGACCCCACCGGCGAGUAAUCAUGGUAAGAACCAAACGGUGUCCGUGGCUCCGAUCAAAAAAAAUAGGGAGAAAGA